This 654-nucleotide long non-coding RNA is filed under the name Bos mutus (wild yak). RNAcentral's name for it is "lncRNA (ENSBMUG00000021070.1)". The record is from RNAcentral. Lineage: Eukaryota; Metazoa; Chordata; Mammalia; Artiodactyla; Bovidae.
CACCUCCGGUGUUCCCGCGACACCAUGAGUCGCGGUCAAGUUAGCUCCGCCCGCUGACUCCGCAGCUACCACCUUUAUUUGUUUGAGAAAGGCGGGCUCUUAAGGCUCUUUGGCUCCCGCCCUACCUCUCCGCGGGCGCUGCGCUCGCCGCCGUGGCCAAUCACAGAGCACGUCACGUCGCAGCAGCCAAUCGGAAAGGCCGGGGGGUAUUAAGCCAACCUCUGGGCCUCCCCUCGCUCCUCGUUGGAGGGUGGUAACUAUAUUUCGCUACAAUGGGCUCUUUUUCGUCCGGCCUGGUGAAAUCUAGGGCCAUCCGCGCUUCUUCCGAGGCUCGGCCAGAGAAUGCCAAGGGGGAAAGGCAGGACAAAAGUUGAGGCGAAUCCAGAGGCAUGCCGUUAUCUGAUGCGGAGAUAAUGUCGGAGCUAUUGGUAGAGUAGGUAUGUGACCUCAGGAUUUAAUGAGAAUUUAAUACCAAGAUAAGUCGGUUUUUAAUUCAUCGAGCUCUUUCCUGCAAGAUCCUUUGCCGCAAUGGGGAUUAAGAAGGAGAUAAGCUGCAAGAAUGAGUCCAGCAUCCAAGCAAGGUUGUUCUUUCUCCCUUGUUACUUAAUCCAGAUUCUGGCUGAAAAGAUUCAUCUCAAGGAAUUGUAUUCUUGA